RNAcentral lists this ribosomal RNA (253 nucleotides) under uncultured bacterium. RNAcentral describes it as "partial 16S ribosomal RNA". It matches the Rfam family "Bacterial small subunit ribosomal RNA", at positions 524 to 776 of the family's 1533-position model. The record is from RNAcentral.
UACGUAGGUGGCAAGCGUUGUCCGGAUUUACUGGGCGUAAAGAGCGCGCAGGCGGUCGUUUAAGUCGAAUGUGAAAGCCCCCGGCUCAACUGGGGAGGGUCAUUCGAUACUGAUCGACUUGAAGGCAGGAGAGGGAAGUGGGAUUCCGGGUGUAGUGGUGAAAUGCGUAGAUAUCCGGAGGAACACCAGUGGCGAAGGCGGCGAACUGGACAGUAACUGACACUCAACUGCGAAAGCGUGGGGAGCAAACAGG